This is a long non-coding RNA of Canis lupus familiaris (dog), 906 nucleotides long. RefSeq lists it as uncharacterized. NCBI's taxonomy places the organism in Eukaryota, Metazoa, Chordata, Mammalia, Carnivora, Canidae. The record is from RefSeq and is a predicted model, not a curated record. The transcript is spliced from 5 exons.
CUCAGCUAAUAAGCAGCUGAGCUGGGACUCCCACUCAGCAAUGCAGCUCCAGGCCUGGCUGCUAACCCCUUCUUCCUUCUUGGCAGCUGCCUUCACAGAGGAAUUCAAGAGAUCUGUCUAGAAACUCCAGUGUCCAGGGAGACAGCUCAAGGAUGACCAUCUUGCUUGAACUUGGCAAGUUCCUUGUUGCGAUUUCUAACAUGGAAUUGUGAAAUCAUCCUGUUGGAAACUGCGCUCCGCCCCCGCCCCGACCCUGGGGGGCUCCACAUGAGGUCAGCAUCUGGGUCGCUUUGCCAGGGUCAGAAGACUGUUCUUCCAGGAAGGGCUGCAGAGACCCUGGGAACGGGACCAGCCCAGCUCACAAGUAUGAAGAGAAUGUCGGAGAGGAAGUGGUGGCUGUGAGUCAGCAUGAGUCAUCUCGUUCCAAUGAGAACGAAGACUGAGUCAUGUGGACAUCAUUGGGAAUGGAGGGAAAGAGUGACUGCAUGGCUGGUGCUUGCUGAGCCGCGGGCUGGUAUUCCAGAAGGGCUGUGCCUGAGUCGGUGUCUGCUUCAGACCUUCGGGGCCCCGGCGGCGGGAAGGUGGAGUCAGCCGCUUGUCCCUGAAUAACUGGGAGAUGAAACAGGAAGCUGUAUGACACAGUUGAUCGAAAAUGACACAGACACAGAAAAAUCAGGACUCGGCCCCCUCCAGUGCCUCUACCUGCUGCCCACAGCCGGAGUGCAGGUGAAGGGUUUCCCCUGGGGCCUGAUCCUAACUGCUGUGGACUCCAAGGGCCUCCACAUUCACGAUGAUGUGUUUGUGAUGUCGUGGUCACAGUCUCGUCUAGCCAGUUUCCUAUUGAUCUGACCAGUCCCUGUGUGUCUUAAUCCCUUUUCCUUCAUUAAAAGCAAAACUCAAGAAAAA